This is a non-coding RNA of Zychaea mexicana, 74 nucleotides long. The record is from the annotation of a RefSeq genome assembly. NCBI's taxonomy places the organism in Eukaryota, Fungi, Mucoromycota, Mucoromycetes, Mucorales, Lichtheimiaceae.
GCCCCUAUAGCCUAAUUGGAUAAGGCGUCAGACUUCUAAUCUGAAGAUUCUGGGUUCGACCCCCAGUAGGGGCU